This 311-nucleotide unclassified non-coding RNA is filed under the name uncultured fungus. RNAcentral's name for it is "partial contains small subunit ribosomal RNA, internal transcribed spacer 1, and 5.8S ribosomal RNA". The stretch from base 1 to 73 matches the Rfam family "Eukaryotic small subunit ribosomal RNA", at positions 1759 to 1831 of the family's 1831-position model. Lineage: Eukaryota; Fungi. The record is from RNAcentral.
GCAAACUUGGUCAUUUAGAGGAAGUAAAAGUCGUAACAAGGUUUCCGUAGGUGAACCUGCGGAAGGAUCAUUAUCGAGUGUGACCCCCCUGUAAAAAAGGGGGUACCUCCCGUCCUUUUGCUAGGCCCUCCCCCUCCAAAAUUUUUUUGACAGGGGGAAGCUUUUUCAAACCUUCUGCUUCGGUGGGUUUUAAACCCCACCGGAACAACCUCAAAAAUUCUUUAUAAUUGUUCUGUCCGAGAAAAAUUUUAUAAAAUGAAAAAACUUUCAACAACGGAUCUCUUGGUUCUGGCAUCGAUGAAGAACGCAGC